GUUCAGGGAUGGGAAUCGAACCCACAGUGUUCCGUUUACCGGAUAGAUGCCAUGUCCACUAGGCUACCCUGGA
This 73-nucleotide transfer RNA is filed under the name Cordylochernes scorpioides. RNAcentral describes it as "tRNA-Thr". Lineage: Eukaryota; Metazoa; Arthropoda; Arachnida; Pseudoscorpiones; Chernetidae. The record is from RNAcentral.